This 267-nucleotide long non-coding RNA is filed under the name Elaeis guineensis (African oil palm). RNAcentral's name for it is "long non-coding RNA (EGUI_LNC046587)". The record is from RNAcentral. Lineage: Eukaryota; Viridiplantae; Streptophyta; Magnoliopsida; Arecales; Arecaceae.
CUUAAAGCCUAAGCAAGCUCCCUCUACAUAAAGGGAGAUAGGGUGCUCUCUGGGAAGUAAGUCAAAAUCCACAGAGAUAAAACUCUGCUAAUUUUUUUACUGAGAAAUCAAAGUUCUCUCCACUUUUUUUUACUCUCAAACUCUCUUCUGUUUCUCUAUUUUCAUCUCCUGUUCCCAAGGCUCCGACUGAUUUAAGCAUCGGAGAUUCCUAAACCGGAGGGCACCCUAUGAUUUUAAGACUUUUUUUGCAGGUUUUGAAAGUAGACC